Long non-coding RNA from Saccoglossus kowalevskii, 631 nucleotides. The record is from RefSeq and is a predicted model, not a curated record. Lineage: Eukaryota; Metazoa; Hemichordata; Enteropneusta; Harrimaniidae.
GUUCGAGGCCGAGGUCAUAGGUGAGCUUACAUCCGGGAGUUCGAUCCUUUCGUGUCGUCCAUUUCGACUAUAUCCUUACGAUAAACAUGAGGGCGAAGUGGAGGAAGAAACGUAUGCGAAGACUGAAGCGCAAAAGGAGGAAGAUGAGGGCAAGGUCGAAGUAGACUGUCGUCAUCACUUUAUCUUCUCAUCAGUUGACAAUCAUCUUGGAACGUGCUGCUACAACACCAACCUGGAAUCUACAUAAACCUGACACUUGGAAGAUCAUGCAACUGCAAAGACGAAUAAACCUGUAGAUUGUUUCUUGAAGAAAUGCCCAUGGUGGUCUUGCCAAUAUUCAGCGCAUGUUAAUCGUGUAAUAACUAAUUGAAAUUACAAGCUCAAUUCCUUUUCACUUGUCAUCAUGACUAGUAAGUGGUAUGCUUUGGGAUUGUAUUCAACAUGUCUGCCUGAUGUGAAAGACUAUGUAUUCAGUGCUGUGAACUUGUCCAGCAAACCAGACUGUAAUUCCAGUGCACUGUUUUGAAGAUUAAAAUGUCUAUUGACGAUUAGAUAAACACUUUCUUUAAUUUUGUGUCAUUUUUAUCUUUGUUGAAGACAGUGUAAAAGAUUAUUAAACAUAUAAGCGAGA